AAUAAUUCUUAAAUUAAAAAAUCCAACGCAGAGAGCAGCUAGAGACUCACCUGCGGCAGCUGGGGAAGCAACUCUCGAUUCAGAAGCAACAUAAGCUAGCCUCAACUGCAAAACGACGACGUACCCUUCACUUGUAAAACAUGUUUUCACACUAAUCCUUCAACAAGGGACUAAUGUUUUCACACUAAUCCAACUUUCAAACAAUUUUGGUUACAAACAAAAUCCUUCCAUCGGCUCUUUCAUUUGCCUGAAAAUCGAUAGAUGGACAAUCUCAAACACUGUGACUAUAACAGAAACAUUAAGACGUAAUAUUGCAAAGUAGUAAGACUAACCUGUUAGGCAAGUUGCAGACUCACUUGACCUCAAAAAGAAGAUUCGAUGACAAGUUGAAAGGAAAACUUGUCUUUUAAUUCAUUGGCACAAGCGACAACUAAAGGAUUGCACUCGACUAAAUUAAUGAUCUCUAUCCAAGAGUGGUCAUACGGCCAAUCGAGCUGUUGUAAUUUGUAGCAAUGCUGCAUGCUUAGUCUACGAAGCUCCGGGAAGCUUCCACGUUGAGGUCUCCAUCGCACCAAAUCGGUGUCUUAAAUUCGAAGUUCAAUAAGUUUCAAAAAACUCCCUGGUGUUAUGUCCCACUCUGGGCCUCGAAAUGCAUAGUCGAGUAAUAUGAGAAUCUCGAGAUUUGGCAGCAGCGAACCAAUGUCAUUCAUGUAAUUCCAAGGAUACCCCCCUAACCCAGACAACAUUAACACCUUGAGAUUUGAUGGAAACAUUGAAAGAGGAAUCGUAUUACACUCAUUCUUUAUCUCGGGAUUGUUAACCCAAUAUUCAAGUCUCUCCAAAUUCUGGAGUUGGGAGAUAUAACCCAAGCAACUCGAUGGGUUUCUUUCAUCAUCAUCAUCAUAAGGCUUCAACUCCACUUCAAUAAUUAAUUUCUUUAAAUUAGGAAUUCUUUUGAGAACUUCCCUUGUACAACUCUUUGCACUCACACCAAUAAGUGAGGUGAGUUUGUGCAAGGUAGCAUCAUCAGUAUUAGGGGUUGGUAGGUCGCUUCCCCAAAUCUGAAUCCCCUCUAGUUGUUGCAGGUUCCAAAUUUGCACAGGCAUAUAAGACUGAACUCCACGCUUUUUAAUGUAAAUAUGUGGAUCGGUAAUCAAGAAUUGAAGAUUAAAAAGGUUGGAUAUGGAAUGAGGGAGCUCCCCGUUGUAUUUUAGGGAAAGGUACCGCAGACAAACAAGUUUUAAAAUUUCAAUUGGGAUAUGGUAAAAUCGAACUCUAAGAGCACAUAGUACUCUAAGCAACUUGAAACCCAUGGCAUGUAUUGGGAUUGGAUAUGGGUGAUAAGGACCAUGACAAAGGAGAGAACGGGCAGUGGAUGCACAAUCACUUUUUAUCGAAUCAUACACUUGUUUGAAGCAGAAUAAACUAUUCCAAUGGGCACACAAGCGACGCUGGUCUUUUAUUACAUCAUCACAACCUCGUAAGACAUGUAGAAACUUGAUCCUACUAGCUUCUACCUUACAUAAGUGCUGCCAACAAGAAUGCACGCGAUACGCUCUAUUUGAAAUACCACAAAUUUUCUGUGUCGAGAACAAGAUGAUACGACUUAGAAAGCUUUUCCAAGAAACCUUCAAAACUUUUUUCAACAUUCAGUUCAAGAAAGCCCUCAGCACUCAAAAGAUAAUUAAUAUCGAAUGGUCUCUGAUCAGCAUAAGGAGGGAAAGCUCCCAUAUAGAGGAAAAACAUUUUUAAAUGUUGGGGUAAGUAGUCAUAGCUUGGGAAAAGUACCUCUGAUAUUUGAUUAUAUGCAUCCUCGAAAAGUGAGUUUUGUUGUUUGUAGGCUACCUCAGUCCAAUAUUCUGGGGUCUUGUCGGCUUUUGAUAGGAGCUCUGCAACUGUGACUAUCAUAAGCGGAAGACCUUCACAUUUCUCAGCAAUCUUCUCUCCCAGUUCCUUAAGUUGAGGAGGGAAACCGUCUUCACUAAACACCUUCUCACCAAACACCUUCUCACCAAGUAGUUUCUUACUAUCUUCUUCAUUCAACAAGCUCAAUAUCAUGCCCCCAUGCUGCUUGUAUGUUAUACGUUGUCUACUUGUAAGUAAGAACUGAAUCCCUCCAAGAGUAUUCUUUUCUCGCAAGCAAUUUGUCAAGCGAUUUGUUGCUUGUACCCCCCAAACAUCAUCCAACACGAUGAGGCAUUUCUUAUCCUGCAAUUUUUCUUUCAAUAGUCCAACUAAUUCCUCAUCAUCAUCUUCUCCUUGGGCAAGCAUUCGGUAAGCGUUGGGAUCCACUUGAGCUAGAACGCAACGUAAUAGUUCAUUGGGUUCGCAUUUUCUACCCACUUUGACCCAUGCUCGAAAGUCAAAAUGGCUCCGAAUUGAUGGAUCUUCAAAAAUAUGUUUAGCAAGAGUUGUCUUUCCAACUCCCGCCAUCCCAACGAGCGAACAAUGUUUAUCUUGAAGAAGAUUAUCUCUGGCUUUUUCAAGUUCAUAAGAUAAUCCAACUAUCUUUGAAUUGAUCAUUCCACCAAAAUCAAUUCUUGAGGAAAUAGGCUCGCCCUCUUCCUCUGGCAUAUUCAACUUUUCAAUGAUGUACUCUAUCUCCAUCAUCUUCACCAUCUCGAUGAAGCAAUCAACAUGGUGUUGCAGACUCUGCAGAUCUACAGAGAAUGACAAGUUGUGUCUCUCGCUUUCGAGUUGUUGAAGAAUCUGAGGUAAGAUAUGGGAUUCGAGUAAAUCUUCGAAUUCCCAAACUGCCUCUUUGAUGAGUUCAUCCGCAGCAUUCACCUUCGUCCUGAUCUUGCUGCAGCUGGUGUCAUCCAAUUUGAGCAGAAUUCUCUGCAAGUGAUCCAUCUGGUCGUAGGCAGGUUGUAAGAUUUGUGGAGAGUGGGAAACGAGAGAAAUGCGAGACGAUUGUAGAAUACGCUGAAUCGUAUUCUUGAGAGAAGCCGCCGCACCAUAAGCCGCCAUACCCAAAUUAUCAGCUGAAUCGAUUCAUAUUCAGUCGCCUAACAAAGAAUUGGAGAAGAAGAAGGAAUUAUAAUAAGCAAAUAGAGAUGAAACAAAUGAUAGAUCUCAGCUCUCUGCUUACCUCUUGGAGGAGUUGGCGCAAGUCAACGGUGGCAGCAGCUGGUUUUGAUACAAAUUCAGAAACAUUCAAUACCACAUUCAAGAACUUUAGUAAAUGAUUUGAAAAGAUGUGUAUAAUGUAAUGCUAAAUGCUAAAGUAAUAAAUUAAAGUUUGAAUAUAAAUUUAAUUCAAAAUCAUUAUUUAUGGGAUAUGAGAAAACUAAUGUUGGAAUGGGCAAAUGGGAUCAAAAGCCAACAGCUCUCAAUACCAGAUCUCGAUGCAAAGCAUGUGGGAAUAGUGAUGGCGUUUCAGACGAUGUUGAGUGUAAUCCAAAUACUCAACAGGGAUUUCAUGUAUUUUAAAUAUGAAGCCAUAAAUUAAUUAGUAUAUUGCCAUAAUCUUAAAAUUUUAAGAUAUAUAUAUAUAUAAAAAAAACACAUAAACUGUUUUCACACAAAUCCAACUUACAACAAUUUUGGUUACAAACACAAUUCAGCACUCAGGUUUCACAAUUUAUGUAAUUUGUGAAUUUAAUAAACUCUGAUCACAAUUUAUGAGUUAUAAAAAAAUAUAUAAAAAAGGAAAAUUGCUAACAUGGACUACACAUUAGCGGUGUUUAUCAUAGGUGCUCAUAAAUUGUGUGCAGUAUAUUGAUCCUCGUAUUUAUAAUAUCCUUAUUUUAAAUUUUUCUAGAUAGUUUUAUAAAUUUAAAAUAACAAGGAAAUAGUUAAGAGUUAUCAUAAUUAAAACAAUAAAAACUAAAAUUAGCAUAGUCGAAAUGAUAAUUAUUAAAAAAAUAUAGGAAACAGAAUAUUAAUCAAUUUUCCUUUUUUUCUAUAUUUUUUUAUAGCCUUCUGAAAACAUAAGAUUAAGUUGACAUUUGAUCUAAUGUUUAUGUGACGAUGUGUCCUUAAAUGUUUUAAAUUGUCAAUUAGUUCUAGAUCAUGACAUUGUUUAAUAUAUUUUGUGAUUACACAAUCAGACUAAUUAAAAGAAUCAUUAAAAAAAAUUCUCAUACCUACUCCAUUGACAUAAUUUUUUUUUGAAGAGACUCCAUUGACAUAAUUAGUAGGUCUAUUUCAUGCUAUAUAUGAAGGAGUCCACGUGUAAUUUAUUAAUGUUGGAUUUAUCAUAUUUUAAUGUGGUCAUGCUUUUUGUGAUUCAUCAUACAAGUACUCCAUUGGCAAAUUAUUCGUAGUGUUUGCAACACAGUUUUUAACUCAGGGUUUUUUAUUUUUUUAUUGAAGGCUCGAAAGAUCAUGAUUAGUUAUGUGGCAAUUAAACUAAUUAAAGAAAUAAAGAACUACUUAAUCUAAUUAUGAAAAAAGAACUUAUUAAAAAUAAUUAAAAUCCAAAAUUAAGGGGUCGAAAUUUAUGAAUUAUUUAGCCUUCUCUUAUUUCUAAUCAUUUAAAUCCAAAUUGAAAUUGAUAGUAAUUUUAUUUCUUACUCGAAAGUGCCAUGGAUUUUGAAUGUCUUCUAAAGAAAUCUAUAUAUAUAUAAAAGCUCAUCCAACUUCACAAUUUUUUUCCCGNAAAAUAUCACUUUUUCAUAUAACAUACGUGUCAAGUUGUUAUUUUAUUUUUGUUUAUAGAAGAUUAAUAAUAGUUCUCUAUGGUGGAAUAUCUAAAGUGCCAUGGGUUUUGAAUGUCUUCUACAGAAAUUGAGUAGAAUUUGAUGCCUUUUAAUAGUGAGGCAUAAUUUAAAAGAUAAAUGAUGGAGUUGGGCCUUAACUUUUUGUAUUGGGCCGAAAUUUUGUUUAUUAUAUGGAGAAGCCCAAUUGAUAGGCAAUGCCGUAAUAGGUUAGCUGAUAAAAAUGCUUUAGAAAUUUUAUGAAUGAUUAAUUAAUCUAAUUCUUUUCUUUUCUUCUUUGACAAUGAGAGCUCUUAAUCAGAUUCACUUCAUAGCUAAAUCAACAACAUUUUUAACCUCACAACUCUUGCAGUUAUUUAUUUACAUUGGAAAAGAACAAACUUAAUUAGCACAAUAAUUUUGUUCAUACAAACUCCCACCAAAUCAUGGCUUUUCUGUAGUCAUCAGCAAAACAACUUUUAAAUUUCAAGAAAUGUAAAAUAAACCUCAAAGAAAUAAAAUAACAAAAGAAGACAACAACAACAUGGGUUCUCAAAAUAAAAUGACAAUAAGACUACUGGAAAAAGCUCAUCCAAGUACUCAACAGGGAUUUCAUGAAUUUUAAAUAUGAAGCCCAGAAAUUAAUUAAUAUAUUGCCAUAAUCUUGAAAUUUUAAACCAUAUAUAAAAAAAAAACACAAACUGAUUACACACAAUAUGAAACAAAGUUAAAACUAAUGCAGAAGUCACAAAUAUUACAAUCCUUGAACAAGGGACAAAUAGUUUUCACACAAAUCCAACUUACAACAAUUUUGAUUACAAACAAAAUUCAGCACUCAGGUUUCACAAUCCUUGAAUUCAUACGACAAUGUGGCAAUACAACAAUCGAAAUUAUGGGAUAACGCGACGUCUGACCCCUUCGAUCAGCUCUCUCAUUUGCCUGAAAAUCGGUAGAUGGAAUCUCAAACAUUGUGACUAUAAUAGGAACAUUAAAAUGUGAUAUUGCAAAGAUAUUAGGUAGACCUAUGCAAAUCCUUGUGAUAAUCUAAAUAAUUUAGAAUCGAUCAAACUGCUUGAUAAAAAUAAUGCAAACUCUCAACUUUGAGGGAACAGCCUGUGACUUAAAAUACAAUUUUAUGUCCAAUAAAAUUAACAUCAAAUCUUGAUUUCAGCAACUCGAUCUAAAAUCAAGAGCACAUCAUAUGAGUUAGUAACAUCUACACAAAUGCUUAUGCAGAGCGGAAAAGAGGAACCAAAUUUUACGAGCACGAUAUUAAAUACGAGUUUGGAAAGGCAAUGUAAUUAAUAAAUAUUUUUUAUAGUAUUUUGAUUCGAAUAUUUUGUGAAGCAAUAAUUCUUAAAUUAAAAAAUCCAACGCAGAGAGCAGCUAGAGACUCACCUGCGGCAGCUGGGGAAGCAACUCUCGAUUCAGAAGCAACAUAAGCUAGCCUCAACUGCAAAACGACGACGUACCCUUCACUUGUAAAACAUGUUUUCACACUAAUCCUUCAACAAGGGACUAAUGUUUUCACACUAAUCCAACUUUCAAACAAUUCAGCACUCGGAUUUUCAUAAUUAAUCAUCAACAAAAUCCUUCCAUCGGCUCUUUCAUUUGCCUGAAAAUCGAUAGAUGGACAAUCUCAAACACUGUGACUAUAACACAAACAUUAAUUAAGACGUAAUAUUGCAAAGUAGUAAGACUAACCUGUUUGGCAAGUUGCAGAGUCACUUGACCUCAAAAAGAACAUCUAACACUAAGUUUAAAGGAAAACUUGUUUUUUAAUUCCUUGGCACAAGCGACAGCUAAAGGAUUGCACUCGUCUAAAUUAAUGAUCUCUAUCCAAGAGUGGUCAUACGGCCAAUCGAGCUGUUGUAAUUUGUAGCAAUGCUUCAUGCCUAGUCUACGAAGCUCCGGGAAGCUUCCAUGUUGAGGUCUCCAUCGCACCAAAUCGGUGUCAUGAAUUCGAAGUUCAAUAAGUUUCAAAAAACUCCCUGGUGUUAUGUCCCACUCUGGGCCUCGAAAUGCAUAGCAGUUUAACAUGAGAAUCUCGAGAUUUGGCAGCAGCGAACCAAUGUCAUUCAUGUAAUUCCAAGGAUACCCCCCUAAACCAGACAACGUUAACACCUUGAGAUUUGAUGGAAACAUUGAAAGAGGAAUCGUAUUA
Molecule: long non-coding RNA, 6804 nt
Filed under: Salvia miltiorrhiza (redroot sage)
Lineage: Eukaryota; Viridiplantae; Streptophyta; Magnoliopsida; Lamiales; Lamiaceae
Description: long non-coding RNA (SMIL_LNC004914)
Source: RNAcentral